This 253-nucleotide ribosomal RNA is filed under the name uncultured bacterium. Its description in RNAcentral is "partial 16S ribosomal RNA". It matches the Rfam family "Bacterial small subunit ribosomal RNA", at positions 524 to 776 of the family's 1533-position model. The record is from RNAcentral.
UACAGAGGUCCCAAGCGUUGUUCGGAUUCACUGGGCGUAAAGGGUGCGUAGGUGGCUUGGUAAGUUUGAUGUGAAAUCUCCGGGCUUAACCCGGAAAUGGCAUUGAAUACUAUUGAGCUGGAGGUUUGGAGGGGGGACUGGAAUUCUCGGUGUAGCAGUGAAAUGCGUAGAUAUCGAGAGGAACACCAGUGGCGAAGGCGGGUCUCUGGACAGUUCCUGACACUGAGGCACGAAGGCCAGGGGAGCAAACGGG